This 450-nucleotide ribosomal RNA is filed under the name uncultured Paraglomus. RNAcentral describes it as "SSU rRNA". It matches the Rfam family "Eukaryotic small subunit ribosomal RNA", at positions 569 to 1023 of the family's 1831-position model. The record is from RNAcentral. Lineage: Eukaryota; Fungi; Glomeromycota; Glomeromycetes; Paraglomerales; Paraglomeraceae.
AGCAGCCGCGGUAAUUCCAGCUCCAAUAGCGUAUAUUAAAGUUGUUGCAGUUAAAAAGCUCGUAGUUGAACUUCAGGCCUGGCUGGACGGUCCGCCCUCUGGGUGAGCACUGUCUGUGGUCGGGUCCUACCUUCUGGCGAAGCGGCAUGGCCUUAACCGGCCGUGGCGGGGAACCAGGACUUUUACUGUGAGAAAAUUAGAGUGUUCAAAGCAGGCACGCGCUUGAAUACAUUAGCAUGGAAUAAUGGAAUAGGACAAUGGUUCUAUUUGUUGGUUUCUAGGACCGUUGUAAUGAUUAAUAGGGAUAGUUGGGGGCAUUAGUAUUCAAUUGUCAGAGGUGAAAUUCUUGGAUUUAUUGAAGACUAACUACUGCGAAAGCAUUUGCCAAGGAUGUUUUCAUUAAUCAAGAACGAAAGUUAGGGGAUCGAAGACGAUCAGAUACCGUCGUAG